UGGGGAAUCUUGCGCAAUGGGGGAAACCCUGACGCAGCGACGCCGCGUGCGGGAUGAAGGCCUUCGGGUUGUAAACCGCUUUCAGCAGGGACGAGGCCUUAUGGUGACGGUACCUGCAGAAGAAGCUCCGGCUAAAUACGUGCCAGCAGCCGCGGUAAUACGUAUGGAGCAAGCGUUAUCCGGAUUCAUUGGGCGUAAAGCGCUCGUAGGCGGUCUGUUAGGUCGGCAAGUUAAAUCCGGGGGCUCAACCCCCGUCCGCUUCCGAUACCGGCAGACUUGAGUUUGGUAGGGGAAGGGGGAAUUCCUAGUGUAGCGGUGGAAUGCGCAGAUAUUAGGAAGAACACCGGUGGCGAAGGCGGCCUUCUGGGCCAUAACUGACGCUGAGGAGCGAAAGCUAGGGGAGCGAACAGG
RNAcentral lists this ribosomal RNA (411 nucleotides) under Verrucomicrobiota bacterium. RNAcentral's name for it is "Verrucomicrobia bacterium partial 16S ribosomal RNA". It matches the Rfam family "Bacterial small subunit ribosomal RNA", at positions 355 to 776 of the family's 1533-position model. Lineage: Bacteria; Pseudomonadati; Verrucomicrobiota. The record is from RNAcentral.